AAUCUCGCUGGGCGCUUCCUGCAGGUCCGCGGGGACUUUCCCUGCCCGGAACCCCUCACCGAGCUGAGGGGCGACUGAAAACGAAAACCAGAAGAAAAAGCCAGAGACCCCAGAGCCAGCUGAUUGCAGUGACCCACAGCAGAGCUCCCAGCAUUCAGCUGCAGCAGCAUCCACAAGGCAGGACAUGGUUCUUCCCAGGGGAGUGGGAGGGCAAGAGGACACACAUGAAAAGAUGAGAAAAUCCCACCAGGGUACAGACUGAAGGGACCUUUCUCACAGAACAGAAGGACUCUCUCCAUUAAAACAAACAAAUAAAUAAAAGUUUGAAACACA
This is a long non-coding RNA of Coturnix japonica (Japanese quail), 333 nucleotides long. RefSeq lists it as uncharacterized. The record is from RefSeq and is a predicted model, not a curated record. NCBI's taxonomy places the organism in Eukaryota, Metazoa, Chordata, Aves, Galliformes, Phasianidae.